CUCCCUCCCCUUCUUCUUCCUCCCUCUCCUGGGGAUUCACAGCCUGGACCCCCUGCAUGACAAGCAAGUGCCCCAUUACAGAGAUACAGUUCCAGCCUUCCUGUGGGGUUGAUUGGUCUGCAAGUAAAUGUUACAAUGAUGUUAACAACGUUGAGAGAGGUGGAGAUUUGAAGGUGAAGAACAAACUUUGCAGCAGCAGUGCAAGCCAACAGGGAUGGACUCUAAGGUUGAAUGAAGGUGGACUCUAUUUUACUUUGUGAAUGAAAGUUAUUGGAAAGAAGCUGGGUCUGCGAAGACUAAUGAAAACCCAGUCACAUGGAGGGGCUGGAGUGUUGCAAGUCCAGAGGCUAAUUACCUGAUCCUUGGCUAGUUUUAGCACCUCCCAAGUAGCCAUUCCUUGGUCAUCUCUGUGUCAGAAGCAGCAUUCCAUGACUAACAGAUGAAACUUUUCAAAAUCUAUCAACUUAGCAGACUACUAGCAUUCACCAACCCCAAAGCUAAGAAGAAUGCCAUCAGAUAGCAUGUUGGACCCAUGGAAAAGCACUCUCCCAGCCUUGCUGCAGCAGUGUUCCUGAUGUACUCACCAAUGUAUUUUAAAUUUGUCUUGACUUUCUUUGUUCUGUAAAACCGGAAGACUUCAUGAAACUGCUUCCAUGUUAGAACAUGGAAUUUGGGGUAACCUAAACCUGUGCUGCUAGGCCGUAGUCACUCAAAAUGGUUCCAGAAUAAACUAUCUCUUAUUCACUUUAA
Non-coding RNA from Cricetulus griseus (Chinese hamster), 750 nucleotides. The record is from RefSeq and is a predicted model, not a curated record. Lineage: Eukaryota; Metazoa; Chordata; Mammalia; Rodentia; Cricetidae.